GGUGACUCAGUGGUAGAGUGCUUGCCUUGUAUGUAUGAGGCCCUGGGUUUGAUUCCUCAGCACCA
RNAcentral lists this transfer RNA (65 nucleotides) under Dipodomys ordii (Ord's kangaroo rat). It matches the Rfam family "tRNA". From Rfam's summary of the family: Transfer RNA (tRNA) molecules are approximately 80 nucleotides in length. Their secondary structure includes four short double-helical elements and three loops (D, anti-codon, and T loops). Lineage: Eukaryota; Metazoa; Chordata; Mammalia; Rodentia; Heteromyidae. The record is from Rfam by way of RNAcentral.